UAAUGGAUAUAUUUGAGCGAGAACAG
This 26-nucleotide non-coding RNA is filed under the name Cricetulus griseus (Chinese hamster). The record is from RNAcentral. Lineage: Eukaryota; Metazoa; Chordata; Mammalia; Rodentia; Cricetidae.